RNAcentral lists this ribosomal RNA (420 nucleotides) under uncultured Desulfovibrio sp. RNAcentral describes it as "bacterial SSU rRNA". It matches the Rfam family "Bacterial small subunit ribosomal RNA", at positions 355 to 767 of the family's 1533-position model. Lineage: Bacteria; Pseudomonadati; Thermodesulfobacteriota; Desulfovibrionia; Desulfovibrionales; Desulfovibrionaceae. The record is from RNAcentral.
UGGGGAAUAUUGCGCAAUGGGCGAAAGCCUGACGCAGCGACGCCGCGUGAGGGACGAAGGUCUUCGGAUCGUAAACCUCUGUCAGGAGGGAAGAAGUUUCACGGUGCUAAUCAGCCGUGAAUUGACGGUACCUCCAGAGGAAGCACCGGCUAACUCCGUGCCAGCAGCCGCGGUAAUACGGAGGGUGCAAGCGUUAAUCGGAAUUACUGGGCGUAAAGCGCUCGUAGGCUGUUAUGUAAGUCAGGGGUGAAAUCCCACGGCUCAACCGUGGAACUGCCUUUGAUACUGCGUGACUAGAGUCCGGGAGAGGAUGGCGGAAUUCCAGGUGUAGGAGUGAAAUCCGUAGAUAUCUGGAGGAACAUCAGUGGCGAAGGCGGCCAUCUGGACCGGAACUGACGCUGAGGAGCGAAAGCGUGGGGA